This 464-nucleotide ribosomal RNA is filed under the name uncultured bacterium. RNAcentral describes it as "partial 16S ribosomal RNA". It matches the Rfam family "Bacterial small subunit ribosomal RNA", at positions 339 to 795 of the family's 1533-position model. The record is from RNAcentral.
CUACGGGGGGCUGCAGUGGGGAAUAUUGCACAAUGGGCGCAAGCCUGAUGCAGCCAUGCCGCGUGUAUGAAGAAGGCCUUCGGGUUGUAAAGUACCUUCAGCGGGGAGGAAGGGAGUAAAGUUAAUACCUUUGCUCAUUGACGUUACCCGCAGAAGAAGCACCGGCUAACUCCGUGCCAGCAGCCGCGGUAAUACGGAGGGUGCAAGCGUUAAUCGGACUUACUGGGCGUAAAGCGCACGCAGGCGGUUUGUUAAGUCAGAUGUGAAAUCCCCGGGCUCAACCUGGGAACUGCAUCUGAUACUGGCAAGCUUGAGUCUCGUAGAGGGGGGUAGAAUUCCAGGUGUAGCGGUGACAUGCGUAGAGAUAUGGAGGAAUACCGGUGGCGAAGGCGGCCCCCUGGACGAAGACUGACGCUCAGGUGCGAAAGCGUGGGGAGCAAACAGGAUUAGAUACCCCAGUAGUC